UUUGCUGCAUGUGCUUGGUGCCUGGGGAAUGCAUGUCACUGCACAGGCAUGCAACAACACCCAGAAACGUUGCCCCAAUCUUGCAGGCGCUGUUAUUGCCUUUUGCUGCAUGUGCUUGGUGCCUGGGGAAUGCAUUUCAUUGCACAGGCAUGCAACAACACCCAGAAACGUUGCGCCAAUCUUGCAGGCGCUGUUAUUGCCCUUUGCUGCAUGUGCUUGGUGCCUGGGGAAUGCAUGUCACUGCACAGGCAUGCA
Molecule: long non-coding RNA, 255 nt
Filed under: Volvox carteri
Lineage: Eukaryota; Viridiplantae; Chlorophyta; Chlorophyceae; Chlamydomonadales; Volvocaceae
Description: long non-coding RNA (VCAR_LNC003883)
Source: RNAcentral